RNAcentral lists this unclassified non-coding RNA (330 nucleotides) under soil metagenome. Its description in RNAcentral is "partial contains 5.8S ribosomal RNA, internal transcribed spacer 2, and large subunit ribosomal RNA". The stretch from base 2 to 120 matches the Rfam family "5.8S ribosomal RNA", at positions 36 to 154 of the family's 154-position model. The record is from RNAcentral.
UAUGAAGAACGUAGCGAAAUGCGAUAAGUAAUGUGAAUUGCAGAAUUCAGUGAAUCAUCGAAUCUUUGAACGCACAUUGCGCCCCCUGGUAUUCCGGGGGGCAUGCCUGUUCGAGCGUCAUUUCACCACUCAAGCCUCGCUUGGUAUUGGGCAACGCGGUCCGCCGCGUGCCUCAAAUCGACCGGCUGGGUCUUCUGUCCCCUAAGCGUUGUGGAAACUUUCGCUAAAGGGUGUUCGGGAGGCUACGCCGUAAAACAACCCCAUUUCUAAGGUUGACCUCGGAUCAGGUAGGGAUACCCGCUGAACUUAAGCAUAUCAAUAAGCGGAGGA